RNAcentral lists this transfer RNA (85 nucleotides) under Candidatus Nanopelagicaceae bacterium. RNAcentral's name for it is "tRNA-Tyr". It matches the Rfam family "tRNA". Rfam says of the family: Transfer RNA (tRNA) molecules are approximately 80 nucleotides in length. Their secondary structure includes four short double-helical elements and three loops (D, anti-codon, and T loops). The record is from RNAcentral. Lineage: Bacteria; Bacillati; Actinomycetota; Actinomycetes; Candidatus Nanopelagicales; Candidatus Nanopelagicaceae.
GGCGGGUUGCCAGAGCGGCCAAUGGGAGCGGACUGUAAAUCCGCCGGCUACGCCUUCCAAGGUUCGAAUCCUUGACCCGCCACCA